RNAcentral lists this unclassified non-coding RNA (810 nucleotides) under Hevea brasiliensis (rubber tree). The record is from RNAcentral. Lineage: Eukaryota; Viridiplantae; Streptophyta; Magnoliopsida; Malpighiales; Euphorbiaceae.
CAAUUGAUCCAAAUUCACAAGGUAAGCCAAUUACUGCUGAGACAGAUGGCCAGCAAGAGGGGGAGAGUGCUCCACCUGAGAGACAAGUCUCCCCGGAUAAGCUCUAUCGUGCAGCUUUAUUAAGGAACCGUUUUGCAGACACCAUAUUGAGGGCUCGAGAAAAGGCACUUGAAAAGGGUGAAAAGUGGGAUCCUGAGAAAUUGCGGAUGGAGAGGGAGGAACUUGAGCGGCGGCAAAAAGAAGAAAAGGCUCGGAUGCAAGCUGAGGCCAAGGCUGCUGAAGAAGCUCGAAGGAAAGCUGAAGCUGAAGCAGCAACUGAAGCAAAAAGGAAGAGGGAGCUGGAAAGAGAAGCUGCACGUCAAGCAUUGCAACAGAUGGAAAAGACUGUUGAUAUUAAUGAGAACUGUCAGUUUAUGGAAGAUCUUGAAAUGCUAAGGACUGCUCACGAUGAAGAGUUACCGAGUUUCAUGGAGGAGACAAGCCCAGAUUUCACGCUUCAGGGGAGCAUUAACCCACUGGAACAACUAGGACUAUACAUGAAGAAAGAUGAUGACGAGGAAGAAAUUGAACCACCCCAAAGUGUUUCAGAGCUGGAGAAAGAUGUUGAGGAAGGAGAGAUUGCCUGAUGAGGCUUUUGUUUAUAUUAUUCUGUCAAUUCAAGGAUUUUACAAAAUGGCUCUUCUGAAAGCUCUCUUCCAUGGUUCAGUUUUAUGGGAAGAUUAUGCUGUUACUCGUUCCUAAUAAGAUUCUCAGGAGAAACAUGAUCAGCAGUAUGGAUUGGCUGGGAUCUGUAUUGAUUCUCAGUCUUGG